CGCUCUUUGUAAAAAAAUUAAGAUAUAAAGAGUUCUGCCUGCCCAGUGACGUAGUUAAACGGCCGCGGUAUUUUGACCGUGCAAAGGUAGCAUAAUCAUUUGCCUCUUAAAUAGAGGCUGGUAUGAAUGGCAAGACGGAGGUUAAGCUGUCUCUUUCUUAUGACUUGAAUUUAAUAUUUUUGUGAAGAAGCAGAAAUUUAUUCGUAGGACGAGAAGACCCUAUCGAGUUUUAAUUAUACAUAUUUAUAAUAUUUAUUAUUUAAUAAGACUAAUUAGGUUAAUUUUUUAAAGAAUAAUAUUAUUUUAAGGAUAAUAAUUAUAGGUAUAAAAAUUUUGAUUGGGGCAAUCAUGGAGAAAAAAUAUCCUCCAUUAAAAGAAAAAUAAAUAACAAUUUAAGUUAGAAGGAUCCGCUGUAUAGCGAGUAAAGGAAUAAGUUACCGUAGGGAUAACAGCGUAAUUUUUUUGGAGAGUUCAUAUUGAUAAAAAAGUUUGCGACCUCGAUGUUGGAUCAAGAUUUCCUGAAGAUGCAGUAGUUUUCAGGGGUUGGUCUGUUCGACCAUUAAAAUCUU
RNAcentral lists this ribosomal RNA (569 nucleotides) under Freyastera sp. Yap. RNAcentral describes it as "partial large subunit ribosomal RNA". It matches the Rfam family "Bacterial large subunit ribosomal RNA", at positions 1816 to 2597 of the family's 2925-position model. Lineage: Eukaryota; Metazoa; Echinodermata; Asteroidea; Brisingida; Brisingidae. The record is from RNAcentral.